Myodes glareolus (Bank vole) is the source of this 1443-nucleotide long non-coding RNA. RefSeq lists it as uncharacterized. The record is from RefSeq and is a predicted model, not a curated record. Lineage: Eukaryota; Metazoa; Chordata; Mammalia; Rodentia; Cricetidae.
GGAGGGAGUAGAUGGGAGCAGGAAGAGCGCCUCAGAAGGGGCUCUCCAGUAGAGGUUGAGAGUGAAGGCUGCAGACAGAAGAGGCUGGCCUGGCCUGGCCUGGCCUGGGCUGGAGGGCUCCCAUGUAGCACUAGGGAGCUGUGAUAAAGGCAAUGAGAAGCCUUGGGUGAAGAAAGGUCACAAUCAGGUCCUUCCUUCCUUCCUACUUCCUCCUUCUCCCUCCUCUUUUUCCCUCCUUUCCUUCCUUUUUUGUCUUCCCUCCCUCCCUCUUUCCCUCCCUCUCUCCUUCACUUUUCUCCCACACCUUAUUUGUCCUAGGCAAGUUUCUAAGACUGAGUUACAACCGAAGCCCUUUUUAUUGCUUUUAUUUUGAGACAGUGUCAAAAUUGACUUGUCUGAGCUUCUCUGUAGCCUAGGCAGACCUUGAACUCAGGAUCCCUCUGCCUCAAGCUCCUGAAGUAGCUGGGAUUACAGGCCCAUACCACCGGGGCUGACUUCUAGAUUGGGUCUUAGAGUCAACCUGAAAGAUGAGGUUGUCCCAGGGAAAGCUAGGAAUUCUUCAUAUGGUCCAUGGUUAUUUGAGCACAGUUGUUGGCUGGGCCUUGGGAAGCCCGGCACACAUAGGCAAGGCUGUUGCUGCAGCAUCCUGGGGUUGGGUUCAUCCAAGGCCAAGCACCAACUGCAUCAGGGCCAGUACCUGGGUGCUGGUUCUCUCUGUGACUUCCAAGCCCAGCCCCAGCCCUCCGGAACCAGAGGCACUGGGGACGUGCAGCGCUACAAUCUAUAAGACGCUCAGAAGCAGGCAAGGCAGAAGGCCCCGGAGUUGCCUUCUGGGAGAGAUUUUCAUCAGGACAGCUGCAGGGUGUUUAAUCUGGAGAAAUUUGUUUGAGCAUCUCUGGGCUUAUAGAGCACUUUCCAGCUCCCACUGGCUCACCAGCUCACUCACCAGCUUACCAGGAGCAGAGCAUCUUCAGGUUGCAGAUAACUAAGCUAGAGGAGUCUCCUGCUGCCUGAUUUUUCUGACUGGAGUCCAGGAGGAGGAACUGUCUCAAAGUUGCAGUCUUAAGAGCCAGAAAUGGCUGAGGACAUGGCAGAGGCGACUCUCCUAGAUUUGCUUAAAACCCACUGUGAGCAUCUUCAAGGCCAAGAGCUAGUCUGCAGUAGAGGGCUCCUCUUUCUUCUGAGAUGGUCCCUGUAAAACAAGCCUUGUUGAACCGAACCAUUAACAGGAAAGCGGACCCAUGGGAGAUGCAGGGCAAGGGCUUUGUGACCUUCUGCCAUGAGUCAUAUGGGAGAACUAGCUUCUCUCUGACCCUCAAAAGCUGUUCCAGUCAGGGCCACUAGAGACUCACACAUGGAAGAAAUGUCACCCCUGCCUGGUGCCCUUCUAACGAAUGGACAAGCAAUAAAAAACUCAGAAAAGACCUGGCCUUACAUAAGAUC